This 395-nucleotide ribosomal RNA is filed under the name uncultured bacterium. RNAcentral describes it as "partial 16S ribosomal RNA". It matches the Rfam family "Bacterial small subunit ribosomal RNA", at positions 523 to 918 of the family's 1533-position model. The record is from RNAcentral.
AUACGUAGGGUGCAAGCGUUAAUCGGAAUUACUGGGCGUAAAGCGUGCGCAGGCGGUUCGGAAAGAAGGAUGUGAAAUCCCAGGGCUCAACCUUGGAACUGCAUUCUUAACUACCGGACUAGAGUAUGUCAGAGGGGGGUAGAAUUCCGCGUGUAGCAGUGAAAUGCGUAGAUAUGCGGAGGAAUACCGAUGGCGAAGGCAGCCCCCUGGGAUAAUACUGACGCUCAUGCACGAAAGCGUGGGUAGCAAACAGGAUUAGAUACCCUGGUAGUCCACGCCCUAAACGAUGUCAACUAGCUGUUGGGCCCUUCGGGGCUUAGUAGCGUAGCUAACGCGUGAAGUUGACCGCCUGGGGAGUACGGUCGCAAGAUUAAAACUCAAAUGAAUUGACGGGG